RNAcentral lists this long non-coding RNA (812 nucleotides) under Daphnia pulex (common water flea). RNAcentral's name for it is "uncharacterized LOC124200759, transcript variant X1". Lineage: Eukaryota; Metazoa; Arthropoda; Branchiopoda; Diplostraca; Daphniidae. The record is from RNAcentral.
AUCCAAAGAAAUUUUUUUAAAUUAUUUAAAAUAUUGAGGUUCUAUUGUCGGUGGAGUUUUACGGUCGCCAUAACGGCGGAUUGUCCCCCCAUCCGCCAGGUGGCGCGAGUGUCUUCGUGAGGAAGAAAUAAUUGCCCAUUUGUUUCCGAGACGCUGACUUGAAAGUGUCUUCCAAGUUGAUUGGUGUCGAUCUACAUUUUUAGCCAUUAAAUGUAAUUGGUAAUCUGGCAUAUAAUUUCACUUGGACAAAUGUGAUGACGUGGGUCGAAACUGCUGUCCAUUUUGUCGAAAUGUCGGCCAUUGUUAGCUGUACGUCUCAUCUCGUGCAGAAACACUUCGGAGCUAUUGAUUUUCAGGUCGGAGAUGGAGAUCCCUUUGCUCAACUGUUGCAGAAAUUUAGAACAUGACAAAGUCCGAGCUUCAUGGCUGUAGCCUGUAGUAUUGGUUUAUCGAGCUGGUGCUAUCCCAAGUGUAACUGCAGGAAAACUUCUUGAAUUGCCAGGUGAAGUCUGCGCUUCUUUGUUGCAGUCUAAUGUGCGCAUGGAUUCGUUGCAGUCAUCCAGUGAAAGGUGUGAAUAAAUUGAGCUGUUGCAUGCAGUCUUUGGUGCUGAUGUUGUCCUGGAGUGUGGGAGAGUCCCAUGCUUCAAGUCUUCUGGGAUCAGCUAUAUCUGAGUUGACGCUGGAUCAUGCUGCAUUGUGGUUGCCGAAAUGUUUGACAUCUAGUAGAACUGCAAGAAGACUCCUUGAAAUGGUUUAUGUUUACGUAGCAGUGAUGUUGCUGUCCAAUAUGCAUGUUGUUGCAGCCUAUACUG